UACGGAGGGUGCAAACGUUGCUCGGAAUCAUUGGGCGUAAAGCGCACGUAGGCGGACCGCUAAGUCGGAUGUGAAAGCCCUCGGCUUAACCGAGGAAGUGCAUUCGAAACUGGCAGUCUUGAGUAUGGAAGAGGGUCGCGGAAUUCCCGGUGUAGAGGUGAAAUUCGUAGAUAUCGGGAGGAACACCAGUGGCGAAGGCGGCGACCUGGGCCAAUACUGACGCUGAGGUGCGAAAGCGUGGGGAGCAAACAGG
This 253-nucleotide ribosomal RNA is filed under the name uncultured bacterium. RNAcentral describes it as "partial 16S ribosomal RNA". It matches the Rfam family "Bacterial small subunit ribosomal RNA", at positions 524 to 776 of the family's 1533-position model. The record is from RNAcentral.